Long non-coding RNA from Nematostella vectensis (starlet sea anemone), 965 nucleotides. RefSeq lists it as uncharacterized. The record is from RefSeq and is a predicted model, not a curated record. NCBI's taxonomy places the organism in Eukaryota, Metazoa, Cnidaria, Anthozoa, Actiniaria, Edwardsiidae. The transcript has 3 exons.
GCUUUGCAUUUAGCGACAGUAUCAAAGGCAAACCGACCACUUUAACUGUGGUGUUUUCAUUUGUUCGCUCUAUAGUUUGCCAAGAAUCUGUGUGAGAGCAGGGCCUUAAACGUUGUUGACAUCACGGAAGAACGAGCAAACAUGAUGAGGUUAAUCUCUGGCACAUGCUACAACGAUAUCGACCGGUGGAACGUCAAUAUUUGCAAAGUGUGCAAGGAUGACGAUGGAGAAGACUGGCUGGGUUGUGACGCCUGUGGCCAGUACUUCCACUGCGGCUGUUUACCGGGCGCCAAUUUCGCCGAGGCUGUAACCGGCGUUUCCUUCUGCCGUUGUAAAUAUUAUAUGUUACUCGCGAAGUAUUCCGCAGAUCUGCCAGAGAUUUCUAGUAUCCCCCAAUAGUCACCCAGAGGUAGCGAGGGAUCAAUUUCCCAAGAUGUGAGAGAGAAACUAGAGAUAGCCGUAUUAGUCGGAGCAGUUUGGCAGUUUCAACGAGGAUGUGUAAUUAGAGGGACAAUAGGAGAGCCCGAAGCUAUAGACAGAGCUAGUAUGGGUAUUGUAUGGUCCUAUGACAGUAGGUUAGAUAGUGAUUGUGUUGUGUAACACGAGCAUUGUAUUUAGUUAGAGUUAGACUAGUGGAUAAAGGCAAGCCAUCAAGGCUUAAAAGUCCACUUCAGAGGCUUUAUCCUAUUGAAGUGAGAUGCGCAGACUUGCGGCGCGAGCGCGAACGGCAAUGUGCAGCCCGCUCAGAGCUAGGACAGCACGAGCAGCAGCAUUACAAGCGCAAUAUUUACUUACUUGUUUUUAUAACAGUUAAUUGGUAAUCAUUGUAAUUAAAAGAUUGAAACAAGUGAAAGUAUAAAGUCCCCAAGAUCGUGCAGCGCUAGAUAGAAGUCGAAGUUACGAAAAAAAAAAUUGUGCUCCUAUUUCAGCAAAAAAAUCUAAUUUAUUAUAUUUAUUCAUACUGA